Molecule: long non-coding RNA, 17014 nt
Filed under: Zea mays
Lineage: Eukaryota; Viridiplantae; Streptophyta; Magnoliopsida; Poales; Poaceae
Description: long non-coding RNA (ZMAY_LNC003612)
Source: RNAcentral
CCUCUUGCCACGGAGGGUACACGCUACUCUCGCCACCGCUCCACGCCCAUUUCGUGUUAUCUUAUUCCGGCCUUAGUCUGCCCGAGGCAAAGCUUACCCAUGACAAGGCAUGUGACCAGUUAAAGGGUCCUCGAUCAUCAAGCCUACAUACGCAUCCAAUCCUUAAUCAACAUGGGUAGAACAUCACCUGUUCCUAGCCCAAGUCCCGAUUUAAGUACUUCCAUCCUUAGGAUUGUUUGUGUUCCUUAGGAUGAAAAGAGCAUCACAGGGAACUUUGCAGUAAGAUCCCACCAUGCUCCCAAUGAAAAUAUAUUCUUGCAAGUAGAAGCCAUCCUUCCUCAGGAUAACCCCUGAGCUAGGCAUCAACGCAAAGGACAAGCUCUAUCCACAAGAUUUACCUCUAAGCAAGGCUAAGCAAUUUUGUAAAUCAUAUUUUGAUACUUCAUCAGAAGUAUCUAUAAAGGUAUGGAUAUCAAGGAAGGCAAUGCAUCAAAGGGUUCCAAGCAACUCCUAUAAACCUAAUGCACAUUUCACUAGACUUAAAGUGUGCGAAAAUUAUUUAAAAACAUAAGGAAGGGGUUGCAUGCACCGGGGCUUGCCUGGAAUAAACACUAUGUUAGUGUUUGUUAGAUGACGUCCACUUGACGACCAUCUUCAGGUUUGUCCAUCAGCUUCACCAUGCGGAGUAGCCCGCGCUUGGGGUCGACUUGGCUUGUCUUCCGCAUCGCGCGAUUAAUUAACGUACCUAAAUGAAAUGCAUUAUGCACAUGAAUGCAUAUAGACAGGAAUAUCAAAAACCCUAAAUAGUGCUAUGCGAUGGCGAAUUUAAACACCUAGCGGCGAGGCGUUGUACAAUUUUAUACGGAAACACUAGUUAUUAAUAUAUGACUACGCGCAAUAAUUACGCUUCUCUAGAUUAACCGAACCUAACGCGAACAUCACAAAACAACAAAUUAUACACCUUUAAUACAAUUAACCUAACCACAACUUAUCAGUUAAUUAAUUGAAUUCUAAACUUAUCCCUCGUUUUAUGAAUUAUACCACUUUGUUUUCCGAGAACUAAUUUAAUUUUACCAAACAAUUAUAAUUCGUCAAUAGUAAUAUUAACAAUGUUAUUGUUUAGACAUUUUAAAAUACUGAAUUUAACCUACGCGUCACCGAAAUACUACACUCUACAAAAUAGAACUAGCUCGAAUAAGUAGACUAGCUUACCGACGCAAGCUAACUAACAAAAUAAUCAACCGGCUUACCCCAUCCCAAGCCCGAUUCUACAAGAAUCACGACGAUCACCAAUUCAAACGUAACGUCGAGCACCUAACAAGCGUCGCCUACGCAUUUUACUACGUACACCAUCUAGCUCACUAUACCAAUCGCAUGCUGUGAUUCACACAUACCAUCACACGGAAAACACAGAUCACGACACACGGAUUGAGAUGAUGUCGAUCAUAAGGUAUUUUCCGAAUACCCUACCUGCUGUCUGAAGCACGGAUCCGGCGACGUAGAACCAAAGUUGUCGACGACGGGUUCCCUGAUGAGCGUCUGAGCACGAGGGGAGGUGUCCUGACAUAGUAGGCAACGACGGCGCAAUGGCGAGGAGCAAAGGGGUUGCUGUUCAAAUGACAGAGAAGGAAGCAUGUCCCUAGUUCGACCAGCAUCCAAUGGCGCAGCAUAGGUAUUGAGCUAAAGGCUGGGUGCAGGGACGCGAUGUGGCAUGGCAAAUCGAGCAGGACACAGCGUGCAGGGAAAUGGACGUCGAGAAAGCUGCCGCAGGGGAAAUCGGCAUGGUGAGCACAGGGUUUUCACGGCGCUCGGUGCGGCGAGGAAUCUCCAUGGCGAGGUCCGAGCAGAAGAAAAGGGCGCAACACUAGGGAAGGAGCUACGCGCCGCUGGAAAAGAAUCAGAGCCGAACUCAUCGCAUCCUGGUGCGCAGUAGAGCAGGUGUCCAAGGAAGAGACAAGAAGCCGGGAGCAAGAAGCAAGGAUGGAACUCGACAAGGUCGCGGCACAGGAAACUGGGCAGGAGCGUGCAACGCAGGGAGAGGGCACUGCUGCGCGCGGCAAGGAAACUCAGGACAGAGCAAGCGUGCGUCCAUGGGCGAGCGCAGGGAGCUCCGACAGCGCGCGGCAGAGGAGCAGAGGGAGCUCCAUGAGCUGGCAGAGGGCGCUCGGCCAUGGAUGAGGCGAGGAGCCGGGGCGAGCAGAGAUAAAGCUGUCGGCUUGAGGGAGCAGGACACCAGCCGGUCCAGCGACAGUGUCAGCAGCCGCUCGUUGCCCAGGGCCUUGCCCCGCCGUCGCCCCACGUGAUGUCCAGCUCCUGGUCCAAGCUGCCGCCGCGAAGGAGCAGAGCCGGGCGAGCAGAAAUCCGGCGCCGAGCAUAGGAGGAACGACUGGGCUGGGCGAAACUUGGAGGACGGCCGAGCUAGGCGAGCUUCAGGGAGAAGAAGGAAGUCUGGGCGCUAGGGAAUCGAGUGCCCCAGCAUCUGCCCGAAACAGCCGAGCAAUCUGCCGCACGAGCACGCAUAGCGCGCAUAUAAAGCGAACAGGGGCGGCGGCAAAAAUAUCACGCAGUGAGGUACGGCGGCUAAGGAGAGGAUGAGAACAACUAAGACACAGGAAAAUCUUGCGCCGGCUGAACGGACGAAGGAGAGAAGAUGAGCAUGUCGACAGAUGGAGGAUAAGGCUCCUGGGCGAGCACCAAUACGGGAGAGGAGAGAUAUGGAUGCGUGCCUGGCUUUGACGAUAGGAAGCAGAGAGAGGGCGGUGAGGAUAGAGGAUAUUUUCUUUUUUUUUCUCUCUUUUUUUUAGAUUUUCUUUUCUCUCUUUCUUUUAUCAGUAAUCGAAGAUAUUUUGAUCAUGAUUUCUAGCAAUAACAAAAAGGUCGACCGUAUUGCGACACAGUUUGAUUUGAUUCGAAAUCUAAUAAAUUUACCUACGGUCUGAACACAUGAUUCCAUGGUCACGGUAAUUUACCAGAGAAUCAAAGCUCAAUUAUAAUUCUCGGAUCACUAAACGGAAAAUCAGAGAUUAACGAUUCUAACUAAAUUUCAUUUAGAUAGUUUUCGUGACUAUUUUGGGCAAGAUAUAAACGGACUGGAUAACGGAUGCAGUAUUUGAGACAAUACUGGUUUAGUCGAUCUCGGAUAAAAAUUUAUCCGAUGUCUAGGCACAGUUGAUUUUAUUAUUUUACCGAGUGUGCUGAAAAAUAAAUUAGAUCAUCGCCUCGCACACGAUUUUUUUCUCGGACAGUGCGCGAUUUAGAUUAUUUUGCUCCGAACAUUUCUGUCGUCGAGUUCAAAAUAAAUUUGUUCGGGAUAAAAAGGUGUAGAAUGAGGUCGAGCUUCUGAAUUCGGAUUCGCGCGACGAUGAAUUUUAAUUAAUCAUCGGACGCACCGACGACAUUCCGAACAUCACGAAAAUUUCGGAAGAGCCCGGAUAGACGAAAAAUAAAAAUGAUGUCGCACUCGCGACAGAUGAAACAGACGUGAUAUUAAAAUCGCGAUACACGAAGACGAUUAAAAUUUAACAUCUGUUUCAUUCACUGAUAUUACGUACUUAAAUCCACACUCAUUGUCGAGCGGAAUAUAAACACCUGGGGUGUUACAGCCCUCCCCCCUUAAAAGAAUCUCGUCCCGAGAUUCGGAGUGAAAGACUUCUAAGGAUAGAGAAGCAUGUACCCCAUAUCCAUAUCAGCGAUAACCCUAAGACAGUUUCAAGCAAAGGCAAGUGUCUCAGGAUAUUGUUUCUUUAGUGGACAUAGCAUGCAUCGCCAUAAGCUAAUUUAGAAAUGUCCACCAAUAGAGACGAUAUCUACCAGAGGUACACAUAAUGUUCCAUGUGUGCAGUUUGCUUUUUCUGAUGACACUGUACUAUCUGAGUCGGUUGAGGAAGCAGCAGAUAUGCGAUUUUACCCAAACAGAAUCAGAUGCAACCUCUUGGGUAAAACACACAGAAAGAGGUUUACCAACAAAUGGUUAUGGUAAGUUCAUAGCACACGAGACGAGUGUGAAUGUCGAACAACAUCACAGUUAACUCGUGUUAGCCAAAAAAAUCCAAGUUCAAGAAAAAUGAUAGAGACUCGAGAAAAUAUCAAUGAAGAGAUCCGUUGAUGUUGACUUCACGACCAACCCAUUUCAUCAAAUACUUAGCACGGCUCGACUUGAUCACACAUGCUGGAAAAGCACACGUGACGCGAUCGAGGCAUGACUAGAGUGAUGACUAGGUUGUUACCAGUCGGCUUAACUUGAUUUUUGCAAGUACUUCCUUUAGAGGGGUUGUACAAAAGUGAGUUUAGACAACUCGAUAAAAUGAUCUCUAAACUCAACCUUUGUUCACAAAGCAGUUACAAGUUAGUAAAACCAGCUUGUUGAACUACUUUUGACAUUGAGCAGGUCCUCUCAGUACCAUCGGUAAGCCAAUGGUUGAGAGCUCUCUUUGUUAACAAGAGAUUAUGUAUUUGGGUAGAAAUCCAUUUGGUCAUGUUGUUCAUCCGUUUCUUCAUGCAAGAUGAAUAGACUCGGUUAGGGAAUACAUGGAUUAAUAAGAAAGUGAAUGAACAAACUCCUGCAUCUUAGCAGCAGGGAACAAACCUCUAUUUUGAGAACUAAUUAGCUGUCUCUCAACACUAAAAAGCUCCAAGGCUUCACCUUUACACAAAGGAUGCAAAGGGAACGUGUAUGUGUGAAGUCACCAUCAAAGUCAAGGAAAAGAGGCCACACAUGAAAGGGGUAUGCCCUUUUAUCCAAUAGAGAUGAUAGAUGUUGCUUGAUCACUUGACAAACAACAUAGAAAUCGUUUCAAGGAAGAUAUCCACGAAAGACAACACAUCAGUGUAAUUCUAUAACGGAUCAUGAUUAGAGACUUCGAUAUCGGCAUGUGCCAAGCAGCAGAACCUUGCGUGUACAUUCACAAGGGGCUCUCAGUUUCACCGCAGUACCAUAAGUCCUUAACCAUGACACCAUUACAAAACUAGCACCAAUAAUGAAUCUCACGUGGUAAGAACAAUUUGUGCAGAGAUAACAUAUCGACAUAGUCUUAUAAUGGAUUAUGACUACUAACGGUGAUACCAGCGCGUACCAAGUAGCGCAACCAUGUGCUGAUCACCCACAGGAGGCCCUCGGUUUUGGCGCGGCAUCCUCAAUUUUAGUCAUAACGCCAAUACCAGACAUAACCAAUAAGAAAUCUCACGUGACACAAAUGAAUUGAGCAAGGGUGACAAUAUACAAAGAUACUCUACCUAUCAAAAAGGUUACAAGUAGAGAGCCAAAUAGAUCAUGGCCCGAUGAAAUAAACAAGGUAUGGCCAUAACCUAAACUUGUUAAUGAAGGGAGUACGAUGGGAGACUGUUAAUUCAGCCACAAGCAUAUUUCUAUGCACAUCGUAGAGAUCACAAGGUCAAGGAUUAAGUUGAUAUGCCUUCGAUAAAUAGGGGGAAACCAAAGGCAUCAAUUUCAAGAAAAUACUCGAGCAGGUCUUUUCUGGGUUAGGUUGAUGGGUCGACAAUGCGAUAAGGGAGAAUUCGAAUUUGGGUCAUAGUUCACUAACUAAGAAUAUGACCUAGUUUUUCGGUUUAAGCAGACAAACUACCAACCUUCUAUCGGUACAUCAAGUACCAAUGUAAAUACAUAUAAUACCUAAAUAGAUUACCUAAGAAUGGAGGACACCUAUUUCAUCGAAGUUCCUAAUUCAGCAUUACACCAUAUUAUCUACAACCAAUGGUUUCUGGAAUAAAGAUAAGAGAAGCAUCUUAGGUGUAUAGGUGACAAACACGAUGCAACAAUCAGGAUGCAUGCUCGUCCUAUACGUCCUCACAAGUUUUUGCCAACAUAAUGUGGCAAUAACGUUCUAUAUCGGUGGCGUACUUACGACUCUCACGGUAUUUUGCUAGUCGUCAGCUACACAUACGUGUUCGAGGUUAGUGUACCUGCAGAAAAUUUCAUCACAGCCCAUUUUCCCAAUGAUGCAAGUCACACAUGACAUUUUAUCACAUUUUAUACUCCAUAUAUUGCUAUAUGGAGGCCAGCUCAUCAUUAAGCGCCGAGCCACGCAUAGGCGCUGUUGCCACACUUUAACCAUAGGGCAACUCAUUAUGGUAACUCACCUUCUUACCUUAGCGUAGGUGUGUCGUUACAAGUACAAUACACUUCUCAGAAUUCCCAUGUCUGUAUACCCAUACACAUCCAUGGGGUACUGAAUCCCAAAAAAAUAAAUACUCCACAUCGUAGCCUUCAUAUAUACAUAUGUAGAACAUGUAUAUAGUCAGGCGCCACAAUUAAGCACACCCCUAGACCGACGUUUGUUCGGUCAUGCUCUCACAUCUCACCUUACCUUGAGCGUCGAUCCAUUCACAACUGAAUGGCCUAAAAAUAACAAUACACAUGUAUGCAAUACCCCCGAUUGUGGGUUAGUGGUUUUGAACUAAGCCACCUGAUAGUCCUUAAUUUAGGGCUUAAGAGAGGAUGUCGCUAGCAUUAUCAAAACUGUUUUUCAAAGCCAAACAAUGUGUUUAGUUGAAAAUAGUUUUUUUUUGAAACCAAAACUUUUGUUUUGAAAAUACGUAUGUGACCGUAUAUACUUAAUCCAGCUCCGAUACCAGCUGUGACAGAACAUCCAAGUUAUUGGGCCCACAUGCACCUGUCCUUGUCCCAAAGACCUCAGACAACCAUGCAUGUGCACCAGAUAACUCAAUAGGAUCUGUCCGAUUGCCCCAAGGACAUCGGAUAAACCACUUUCAACCAGAACCGCGGGAUUAAGUAAUACAAAUCACACACCCCAAUAUUGUUGCAGCGGAAAUCUUACUACCAAAUUUUACAGGUUACAAAAGUUUUAUAAUAUUUUAUCGGAGUGAUUACAAAAGUAUAAGUUUGAAAUAUAUGCUAGCUCAAAUGACCAUCCUCAGUAAGAAGAUAAAGACGGGGUAUACUUAUAUAAGAAGGCCGAGCCCACCGGCACUUAACACCAUCACAGCAGCACAAAGUUAUAUCCUGAAAAACAACAGGGAAUAAAACCCUGAGUAUGGAAUUACUCAGCAAGACUUACCUGACUAAAGAAAAGACUCUCAAGGGUAUGCUGGAAUUGGGAAUCAAGGAGAGGCUUUAGCAAGAAUCAACUUAGAUACUUUUGCAGAAAUAGCUUACUAAAGUGAGUCCUUACUUUCAAUAUUUUAACGCCAAAUUAAGUAUUAAUAGACGCUGUUUGCAGCUGGUCUAAUUUCACCAUCUCAUCAAUACAACAUCAUUUUUAUUCAUAAUGUUCACAUCCAGACUUAGGUUGUAGGUCAGUGACCAAGUCUUCAUAACCGCGAAGGUACGGCGAUCCGAAUCGAUUAUACUCAGCUGAGGAUCUCCAAUCACACGACAUAUGUAGCACUUAACCCUUGCAUAUGUCAACCCGCCACCGGGGUUCUUAAGACCGGAUCAGGUUCACGCAAACCGAGAGCACAGAUACACCACCGUCCGGCCUCUUGCCACGGAGGGUACACGCUACUCUCGCCAUCGCUCCACGCCCAUUUCGUGUUAUCUUAUUCCGGCCUUAGUCUGCCCGAGGCAAAGCUUACCCAUGACGAGGCAUGUGACCAGUUAAAGGGUCCUCGAUCAUCAAGCCUACAUACGCAUCCAAUCCUUAAUCAACCUGGGUAGAACAUCACCUGUUCCUAGCCCAAGUCCCGAUUUAAGUACUUCCAUCCUUAGGAUUGUUUGUGUUCCUUAGGAUGAAAAGAGCAUCACAGGGAACUUUGCAGUAAGAUCCCACCAUGCUCCCAAUGAAAAUAUAUUCUUGCAAGUAGAAGCCAUCCUUCCUCAGGAUAACCCCUGAGCUAGGCAUCAACGCAAAGGCAAGCUCUAUCCACAAGAUUUACCUCUAAGCAAGGCUAAGCAAUUUUGUAAAUCAUAUUUUGAUACUUCAUCAGAAGUAUCUAUAAAGGUAUGGAUAUCAAGGAAGGCAAUGCAUCAAAGGGUUCCAAGCAACUCCUAUAAACCUAAUGCACAUUUCACUAGACUUAAAGUGUGCGAAAAUUAUUUGAAAACACAAGGAAGGGGUUGCAUGCACCGGGGCUUGCCUGGAAUAAACACUAUGUUAGUGUUUGUUAGAUGACGUCCACUUGACGACCAUCUUCAGGUUUGUCCAUCAGCUUCACCAUGCGGAGUAGCCCGCGCUUGGGGUCGACUUGGCUUGUCUUCCGCAUCGCGCGAUUAAUUAACGUACCUAAAUGAAAUGCAUUAUGCACAUGAAUGCAUAUAGACAGGAAUAUCAAAAACCCUAAAUAGUGCUAUGCGAUGGCGAAUUUAAACACCUAGCGGCGAGGCGUUGUACAAUUUUAUACGAAAACACUAGUUAUUAAUAUAUGACUACGCGCAAUAAUUACGCUUCUCUAGAUUAACCGAACCUAACGCGAACAUCACAAAACAACAAAUUAUACACCUUUAAUACAAUUAACCUAACCACAACUUAUCAGUUAAUUAAUUGAAUUCUAAACUUAUCCCUCGUUUUAUGAAUUAUACCACUUUGUUUUCCGAGAACUAAUUUAAUUUUACCAAACAAUUAUAAUUCGUCAAUAGUAAUAUUAACAAUGUUAUUGUUUAGACAUUUUAAAAUACUGAAUUUAACCUACGCGUCACCGAAAUACUACACUCUACAAAAUAGAACUAGCUCGAAUAAGUAGACUAGCUUACCGACGCAAGCUAACUAACAAAAUAAUCAACCGGCUUACCCCAUCCCAAGCCCGAUUCUACAAGAAUCACGACGAUCACCAAUUCAAGCGUAACGUCGAGCACCUAACAAGCGUCGCCUACGCAUUUUACUACGUACACCAUCUAGCUCACUAUACCAAUCGCAUGUUGUGAUUCACACAUACCAUCACACGGAAAACACAGAUCACGACACAUGGAUUGAGAUGAUGUCGAUCAUAAGGUAUUUUCCGAAUACCCUACCUGCUGUCUGAAGCACGGAUCCGGCGACGUAGAACCAAAGUUGUCGACGACGGGUUCCCUGAUGAGCGUCUGAGCACGAGGGGAGGUGUCCUGACAUAGUAGGCAACGACGGCGCAAUGGCGAGGAGCAAGGGGGUUGCUGUUCAAAUGACAGAGAAGGAAGCAUGUCCCUAGUUCGACCAGCAUCCAAUGGCGCAGCAUAGGUAUUGAGCUAAAGGCUGGGUGCAGGGACGCGAUGUGGCAUGGCAAAUCGAGCAGGACACAGCGUGCAGGGAAAUGGACGUCGAGAAAGCUGCCGCAGGGGAAAUCGGCAUGGUGAGCACAGGGUUUUCACGGCGCUCGGUGCGGUGAGGAAUCUCCAUGGCGAGGUCCGAGCAGAAGAAAAGGGCGCGACACUAGGGAAGGAGCUACGCGCCGCUGGAAAAGAAUCAGAGCCGAACUCAUCGCAUCCUGGUGCGCAGUAGAGCAGGUGUCCAAGGAAGAGACAAGAAGCCGGGAGCAAGAAGCAAGGAUGGAACUCGACAAGGUCGCGGCACAGGAAACUGGGCAGGAGCGUGCAACGCAGGGAGAGGGCACUGCUGCGCGCGGCAAGGAAACUCAGGACAGAGCAAGCGUGCGUCCAUGGGCGAGCGCAGGGAGCUCCGACAGCGCGCGGCAGAGGAGCAGAGGGAGCUCCAUGAGCUGGCAGAGGGCGCUCGGCCAUGGAUGAGGCGAGGAGCCGGGGCGAGCAGAGAUAAAGCUGUCGGCUUGAGGGAGCAGGACACCAGCCGGUCCAGCGACAGUGUCAGCAGCCGCUCGUUGCCCAGGGCCUUGCCCCGCCGUCGCCCCACGUGAUGUCCAGCUCCUGUGUCAGCGUCCUCCACCUGAUGGCGAACGCUGCUCGUUGCAGAGAGGAACGAGAGGGAGAAGACAACCAGGAAGGAGAGGUGAGUUCUGUAUUUUUAUUCCCAAAACUGUCUUUCUCAGUACAAGUGCUACUAUUUAUUACAACCAGCUAUUAAGCGCCGGCCCACCCUUCAACGGAUCCACUCGGCACCGGACCAUUUGCUAUUGGGCUUCCUUGUUCGCCGGCCCAUCACUUCAUCAGUUCCUGCUCUCCUGUCGUCCCCCAACUCCAGGUCGCCUACAGGAAUACUGACAUUCCCCUCCUGUUGAGAGACAGCUUGUCCCCAAGCGUCGGCCCCUGGAAAACGAGCGUGCAAAGCUGCUUCAUCUUCCCAAGAAUCCAGCGCUUCAUCAGACUCGGACCAACGUACACGUACUUGGGGCAGCAGGGCUCCACUACGAGAUAUCACCCGCCUGUCCAAAAUCUGAAGAGGAACACGGGGAGCAGCGAAGCUGUCUGGCAAUGUGGUGCUGACUUGGUGAUGCCCUUUGGAUUGUUUAAGCUGAGACACAUGGAAUACAGGAUGUAUUCGCGCUGUCGAGGGCAACUGCAACUUGUAAGCAGCCUUGCCCACUCGCUGUAAGACUGUGUAUGGUCCAAAGUAACGAAAACUCAGCUUAUGAUUGGCCCGUGUAGCAACUGAUGACUGUACGUAAGGCUGGAGCUUCAGAUAAACAAGAUCGCCGAUACUGAAUUCCCGAUCAGACCUGCCCUUAUCUGCUUGUGCCUUUGUCCUCUGUUGAGCUCGCAAGAGAUGCUGUCGGACAAGUCGCACCAUCAACUCUCUGUCAGAUAACCAGGACUGAAGAUCAUCCGAAGUAGGAACAUUCUCAGUUGUAAAUCCAAAAUGGCGAGGAACAUGUCCAUAAAGUACUUCAAAGGGAGUCCGACCCAAAGAGGAAUGGAAAUUGGUAUUGUACCAAUACUCAGCCAAGGGCAACCAUGCCGACCAUUUGGAAGGACAGGAAUGCACAAAGCAGCGAAGAUACGUCUCUAAGCACUGGUUCACCCUUUCCGUCUGCCCGUCCGUCUGAGGAUGAUAUGAUGAACUCAUCUUUAGUGUAGUACCCGACAGAUGAAACAACUCUUGCCAAAACCGACUUGUAAACACCUUGUCACGAUCCGACACAAUGGCUGUGGGAAGGCCAUGGAGCCUGUAAACUGAAUCUAAGAACAGUUGGGCUACCUUGAGUGCAGAGAAUGGAUGCAACAAUGGUAGAAAAUGUGCAUAUUUGGAAAAAUGAUCCACCACCACCAAGAUUGUAUCAGCACGAUUAGAGCGAGGAAGACCCUCCACAAAAUCCAUUCCGACCACUUGCCAUGACUGUUCUGGUACUGGAAGGGGUUGCAAUAACCCUGGGUACUUGCUCUUGUCAGACUUAGCCUGUUGGCACACAGAACAAUUGGCCACAAAUUCUUUGACUGCUGAUUUCAUUCCAACCCAUGCAAAGAUUUGCUUGAUCUUGCGAUAAGUAACAGGAAAACCCGAAUGCCCCCCAAGAGGGCUGUCAUGUAGUGCUGACAUAAUGUUCUUGUGAAUACUUGGAUCAUUACCAACCCAUACCCUGCCUUUAUAACGUAUAAUGCCCGAGUGCAAAGUGUAGUGGGUGGAAUCAGACUGAUUGGUAGCAAGAGCAGCCAAAAGAGCUUGUGCUUUAACAUCUUGAACAUAGCUAUCAGCAACCUGAAGUAGCCAUUGAGGAACUGCAGUAGAUAGACUGAACAAGGCGGGUUCAACAGGUGGCAUGCGAGACAAGGCAUCAGCUGCCCCAUUUUCCACCCCUUUCUUGUACACCACCCUAUAUUGGAGACCCAAUAACUUGGAGAACACUCUCUGUUGCCAAUGAGUGUUGAGCUUUUGUUCAGAUAAAUGAGACAAACUUCUGUGGUCAGUAAAGAUAAUAAAUUCGGCAUGUUGUAGGUAUUGUCUCCAUUGAUUGACUGCAAGGAGAAUAGCAAGAUACUCCUUUUCAUAGGCUGAUAGUCCUUGGUUCUUGGGUCCUAAGGCCUUACUGACAAAGGCCAAUGGGUGACCUUCUUGUAGCAACACAGCACCAAUACCAUACCCCGAUGUGUCACACUCAAUAGCAAAAGGAACUUCAAAGUUAGGCAAUGCUAAGACAGGGGCAGAACAUAGUGAUUGUUUAAGUGUAUCAAAUGCCACUGAAUGAUCCUGAGUCCAUACAAACAAAACCCCCUUCUUUAGCAGCUCAGUCAAGGGCUUGGCAAUCAUGCCAAAAUGCUUGACAAAUUUUCUAUAGUACCCAACCAGUCCAAGAAAUCCUCUGAGUUCCUUGCAGUUAGUAGGCACAGGCCACGAUUUAACAGCCUCAACCUUAGCAGGAUCUGUAGACACUCCUUUGCUGCAUAUAACAUGGCCUAGGUAAGCAAUUUGCUGUUGUGCAAAAGCACAUUUGGAGAGCUUGAUAUGCCAUUGAUCUGUUAAAAGCAAUUGCAGGACCUGUCCCAAAUGAACAAGAUGACUCUCCCAGGUUUUACUAUAUACCAAAAUAUCAUCAAAAAACACCAGUGCGCACUUCCUUAGUAAAGGAGCUAGGGUGGAAUUCAUGGCUCCUUGGAAAGUAGCUGGUGCCCCAGACAACCCAAAUGCCAUGACUCGAAAUUCAAAGUGCCCAUGAUGCGUUUGGAAUGCUGUCUUAUAUUGAUCUUGUGGGUCCAUUCUGAUUUGGUGAAAACCAGCCCUCAAGUCUAGAGUAGAGAACCAACAGGCACCAUGGAGCUCGUCCAGAAACUCAUCUAUCACUGGCACUGGAAACUUUGUUUUGAGUGUAAGAGCAUUGAGGUGACGAUAGUCCACACAAAACCUGUAGGUUUGGUCCUUUUUCUUAACCAAAAUGACAGAAGAAGAAAAUGCACUCUUGCUUGGCUGAAUAAUGCCUGACUGCAACAUUUCAGAAACUUGAUUUUCAAUUUCUGUCUUCAGAGCAGGUGCAUACCGGUAGGGUCUCAUCUGCACGGGCCUAGCACCAGGUAUCAAUGGAAUUUGAUGAUCACACUCUCUGGCAGGUGGCAUGCCUUUGGGUACAUCAAAAACUGAAAAAUACUGCUGUAUCAAAUCCUGUAUAGCAGCAGGUAGCUUCUGCAAUAUAGUAUGUUCUUUGUCAGAGAGCUCGAACAAGGUGCAGACCUGGACCAUUGAUUCCAGCAGUACUGACGAAGUAAGACCAUGAAGGGUUACAUAAGUUCCUUUAAUAGGAAUGGUCAACCACUUAUGUGCCCAAUGAACCAUCAUAGGACUGUGAGCCUCGAGCCAAUCCAUACCAAUAAUCAGGUCAUACGUAGAUAGGGGCAGCACCCUUAAGUUGGAAGAGAAUGGCACACCACUCAAGGACCAGGAAGCGUCCAAAGCUUGGCUGGAGCAGCACAAGUAAGAACCGUUUGCUAUCUGAACAUUAACAGGUUUGUCCAAUUCGACAAUAUUGGGCAAGAUAGAAGCCACUGUUGUACUAACAAAAGAAUGGGAACUGCCUGAAUCCAAUAAGGCCAAUACGUCCAUUCCAGCAAUAUGUCCCACAAAGCGCAUGGUUCGCGUAGCAUGAACUCCUUGCUCAGCAGCCUUGGACAAGAAUGAAUUCAACUCAAAAGUGUCCUCCUUCUCCAGGAUCUCGGGGUCAUCAGUAUCAGGCAAAGGUACCAUUUGCCAUAACUCUUCCACCAUUUGCAACUGAAUAGUGUCAGCACAUUUAUGACCCUUGGCAUACUGUAGUCCACACUUGUAGCACAGCCCUUGUGCUUUGCGGUAAGCAUACAAGGAUGCUAACCGAGAGUCAGUAGUAGAAUUAGGGGCCCCUUGUGGUCGCUUGUCCUCCAUCCUCGCAUUAGGCACCACCUUGGAGUCCUUAGGCAUCAUCGAUUGUGCUUGAGUGGACUGCAUAGAUGGAGACGACAGCCAGUUUUGAGGCCACCGGCGCGGCUCACGUUUCUUGAUCAUCUCACCAGCUUCUUCCUGCAAUUGAGCCAAUACAGCAGCAGUAUCGAAAUCCUUGGGACGUUGAAUCAUUACUACUGCCUUAAUAUCGUCCCUUAAGCCAUCAACAAACUUCAUCGUAUAAUAAAGAGGGUCAGACAUGUGCUGAUAUGCAUUGAGUUUGUCUACUAACUGUGAAAACUCAUCGACAUAAGAUGACACCGAUCCUGACUGUCUGAUAUGGAAGAGCUGUCUAAGUAAAACUUGGUGUUGGUCCUUGGCAAAACGCUCUCGGAUCAAAGCACAAAAACUCUCCCAAGAUAUAUAACCCAACUGAUUCUCCACUGACUGCAACCACCUAGCUGCAGGCCCCACAAAUUGCAUGGAAGCGACCUCAAUCCACAUGACAUAAUCGACCUCAUACAUGCGAAAAUAGGCCUCACAUCGGGACUGCCAUAACUUGGGGUUUUCGCCAUCGAAGGAAGGAAAAUGGAGCUUAGGCAGAUUACCCAAAGGCCGGCUAUGGUGAUCCCCAACCCCCUGUGGCCCAGUACGAUGUCCCAAGGGCACAUCAAAUGUCCGUGGAAAUAAAGUAUGACGAGGAGGUGGGCCAGGGUCGUGCAUACCAUUGUUCGGGAGAUGGUGAUGGAAAUGGGUAUUUCCAAAACCAGUCCCCCGAUGUAGAAGAGGAGAGCCAUGCCCCAUGGGCCCGUCGGUGUGGUUCGCGGACGCAGGUUGGCGCUCCGCUGCCGACGCGAAUGAGCCAAGUACCCCAGCGUGGGACGCUGGUUCUUCGACCGCUGCGCGCUCCAGGAACCGAGCGACCUUGUGGAGCUCCGCCUUGAUGCCCUCCACGGAGGAAUGGAUGUCGUGGACCGACCCUUCGAUGCGGGGACGCCAUUCUUCGAAGGAGGAAGUGAUGUUCUCCAGGGAUGCGACACGGCCCGAUGCAUCCGCCGCCAGCGCGUCGAGACGAUCCAUCGCAACCGCCUGCAUCUCCGCCAUCUGGCCGUCGAGAUGCGCCCGUAAGUCGCGCCCCAGGUCCGCUCGGGGCAGAACACCUUCCACCCCAUCAAAUUUGGCAGACAAUGACGCAAUAUUCUCGGAGUUCUUCCCCACGGUAGACUCCAAUUGCUUCCAGCGCUCCUCAGUAGACUCCAGCCGAUCGCACAUCUGCUGCAGGAGUCUUGAUUGCGUCGCCAGCGUCUUCGAUUGGGCCUCAAUGGACUUGGACUGUGCGGCUAUUGCCGCCGCAACGCCGGGGUCUGCUGCGCCCGACAUCUUGGCCCUCCUGGUGUAGUGGAAGGUCGUCGCCAGGGCCGGAACCAGACCUUUGAUACCAAUUGUCAGCGUCCUCCACCUGAUGGCGAACGCUGCUCGUUGCAGAGAGGAACGAGAGGGAGAAGACAACCAGGAAGGAGAGGUGAGUUCUGUAUUUUUAUUCCCAAAACUGUCUUUCUCAGUACAAGUGCUACUAUUUAUUACAACCAGCUAUUAAGCGCCGACCCACCCUUCAACGGAUCCACUCGGCACCGGACCAUUUGCUAUUGGGCUUCCUUGUUCGCCGGCCCAUCACUUCAUCAGUUCCUGCUCUCCUGUCGUCCCCCAACUCCAGGUCGCCUACAGGAAUACUGACAUUUCUGAUGGCGAACGCUGCUCGUUGCAGAGAGGAACGAGAGGGAGAAGACAACCAGGAAGGAGAGGUGAGUUCUGUAUUUUUAUUCCCAAAGCUGUCUUUCUCAGUACAAGUGCUACUAUUUAUUACAACCAGCUAUUAAGCGCCGGCCCACCCUUCAACGGAUCCACUCGGCACCGGACCAUUUGCUAUUGGGCUUCCUUGUUCGCCGGCCCAUCACUUCAUCAGUUCCUGCUCUCCUGUCGUCCCCCAACUCCAGGUCGCCUACAGGAAUACUGACAUCCUGGUCCAAGCUGCCGCCGCGAAGGAGCAGAGCCGGGCGAGCAGAAAUCCGGCGCCGAGCAUAGGAGGAACGACUGGGCUGGGCGAAACUUGGAGGACGGCCGAGCUAGGCGAGCUUCAGGGAGAAGAAGGAAGUCUGGGCGCUAGGGAAUCGAGUGCCCCAGCAUCUGCCCGAAACAGCCGAGCAAUCUGCCGCACGAGCACGCAUAGCGCGCAUAUAAAGCGAACAGGGGCGGCGGCAAAAAUAUCACGCAGUGAGGUACGGCGGCUAAGGAGAGGAUGAGAACAACUAAGACACAGGAAAAUCUUGCGCCGGCUGAACGGACGAAGGAGAGAAGAUGAGCAUGUCGACAGAUGGAGGAUAAGGCUCCUGGGCGAGCACCAAUACGGGAGAGGAGAGAUAUGGAUGCGUGCCUGGCUUUGACGAUAGGAAGCAGAGAGAGGGCGGUGAGGAUAGAGGAUAUUUUCUUUUUUUUUCUCUCUUUUUUUUAGAUUUUCUUUUCUCUCUUUCUUUUAUCAGUAAUCGAAGAUAUUUUGAUCAUGAUUUCUAGCAAUAACAAAAAGGUCGACCGUAUUGCGACACAGUUUGAUUUGAUUCGAAAUCUAAUAAAUUUACCUACGGUCUGAACACAUGAUUCCAUGGUCACGGUAAUUUACCAGAGAAUCAAAGCUCAAUUAUAAUUCUCGGAUCACUAAACGGAAAAUCAGAGAUUAACGAUUCUAACUAAAUUUCAUUUAGAUAGUUUUCGUGACUAUUUUGGGCAAGAUAUAAACGGACUGGAUAACGGAUGCAGUAUUUGAGACAAUACUGGUUUAGUCGAUCUCGGAUAAAAAUUUAUCCGAUGUCUAGGCACAGUUGAUUUUAUUAUUUUACCGAGUGUGCUGAAAAAUAAAUUAGAUCAUCGCCUCGCACACGAUUUUUUUCUCGGACAGUGCGCGAUUUAGAUUAUUUUGCUCCGAACAUUUCUGUCGUCGAGUUCAAAAUAAAUUUGUUCGGGAUAAAAAGGCGUAGAAUGAGGUCGAGCUUCUGAAUUCGGAUUCGCGCGACGAUGAAUUUUAAUUAAUCAUCGGACGCACCGACGACGUUCCGAACAUCACGAAAAUUUCGGAAGAGCCCGGAUAGACGAAAAAUAAAAAUGAUGUCGCACUCGCGACAGAUGAAACAGACGUGAUAUUAAAAUCGCGAUACACGAAGACGAUUAAAAUUUAACAUCUGUUUCAUUCACUGAUAUUACGUACUUAAAUCCACACUCAUUGUCGAGCGGAAUAUAAACACCUGGGGUGUUACAGUAAUUAUACUAGCGCGGGAGUUCGUUGGGGUUUCUUGCCAUUUUCCGGCCGAAACUUUUAUCCUUAGUGC